This 531-nucleotide ribosomal RNA is filed under the name uncultured bacterium. RNAcentral's name for it is "partial 16S ribosomal RNA". It matches the Rfam family "Bacterial small subunit ribosomal RNA", at positions 355 to 873 of the family's 1533-position model. The record is from RNAcentral.
UGGGGAAUAUUGCACAAUGGGCGCAAGCCUGAUGCAGCCAUGCCGCGUGUGUGAAGAAGGCCUUCGGGUUGUAAAGCACUUUCAGCGAGGAGGAAGGUGGUGAGCUUAAUACGCUCAUCAAUUGACGUUACUCGCAGAAGAAGCACCGGCUAACUCCGUGCCAGCAGCCGCGGUAAUACGGAGGGUGCAAGCGUUAAUCGGAAUUACUGGGCGUAAAGCGCACGCAGGCGGUUUGUUAAGUCAGAUGUGAAAUCCCCGGGCUCAACCUGGGAACUGCAUUUGAAACUGGCAAGCUAGAGUCUCGUAGAGGGGGGUAGAAUUUCCAGGUGUAGCGGUGAAAUGCGUAGAGAUCUGGAGGAAUACCGGUGGCGAAGGCGGCCCCCCUGGACGAAGACUGACGCUCAGGUGCGAAAGCGUGGGGCAGCAAACAGGAUUAGAUACCCUGGUAGUCCAGCGCUGUAAAACGAUGUCGAUUUGGAGGUUGUGCCCUUGAGGCGUGGCUUCCGGAGCUAACGCGUUAAAUCGACCGCC